CCCAUGACCAUGAGAUAAACAACUAGUACCACCUUUGGGCUAAAAACAGCUGGAAAGCAGAAUCCUGUGAGUCUGAGCCGAAGCACCGCCGAUGUCCAUAGCAUAAAAGGCAGACCACAAUUUUUAAUUAAAUAAAUAACUAGUAUGAAGUCUGAAUUUUCUGUGUACCACUACCGCUGCAAUUCAUCCAAAUCCAAUCACCCAUAAAUAAUCUCCUUCCUUCCGGUACAAUAUCAAGACAUUUCCCCCGACCGCAACCCCUUCUUCAUCUAGUUUUUCUUCUAAUCUAAUCGCACGGUGCUCCAAUUGCCUGUUACUUACGAUGCCUGCCAACUCUUGCUCUACUUAGCCUCUCUCUUAGAUUCCAUACGUGCUCCUCCCAGCAUUAUAACCUCGAAAAAGCCCGGCAAAAGCACUGUGCUUUGCAAUGUGCAUCUCCCUCUCUCCAAUCACCCCCCAACACACAGCUCCUUGAAUUUGCAGAUUUACGAGCUGCAUUUUUCUUCUUCCGUGUUUAGCUCCUUGACUCGAAAGGAGCAAUAUUUCCUAAUCACAACUGUGCACUAGUCAUAAAUGACCAUUUUCUUUUAAACCUUCUCUGUCUUUAUUAAUCAUGUACUAGGUUACGCUUGCUGCUACAUUACAAUUUACAAACGCAUCUGCAAGAUUCAAGCUUUGGCUUUUUCUCUCUCAAGAUUUGGGGAGCAGAGUUAAGCAAAGAUGAAGCUUUUUUGUGUUGGGGUUUUUACGGCAUUUGUUUUUUGCAAAGUGGUUACUGGGUUCUUAGAUUUUAAUGAAACAGAGCUGUCUUUUAUUGAGGCUUACGAAUAUGGAGUCUCCAAACUCAAUUACAAUCCUCUCAUGGUUGGACUCACUCUUAUUCCAAGUGCGGGCGCUAAAGGAGCUGUCUGCCUGGAUGGAACCUUGCCAGGUUAUCAUUGGCAUCGUGGAUAUGGAUCAGGAGCAAAUAGCUGGCUCAUUCAGUUGGAGGGAGGAGGAUGGUGCAAUAACAUUAGAACUUGUGUCUACCGCAAAAAAACCCGACGUGGAUCAUCCACAUACAUGGAAAAGCAGAUACCAUUCACUGGAAUAUUGAGUGAAAAAGCUGAAGAAAAUCCUGACUUUUUCAAUUGGAACAGAGUAAAGCUUCGUUAUUGUGAUGGUGCCUCUUUUACCGGGGACAGCGAAAAUAAGGCUGCACAGCUGCAAUUUAGAGGACAACGUAUAUGGUUAGCUGCAAUGGAAGAUUUAAUGUCAAAAGGAAUGCGCUAUGCAAAGCAGGCUCUUCUUUCUGGCUGUUCUGCUGGGGGUUUGGCAGCAAUUUUACACUGUGACGAGUUCAGGAACUUGUUUCCAAGAACUACUAAAGUUAAGUGCCUUAGUGAUGCUGGUCUAUUCCUUGAUGCGAUUGAUGUGUCUGGUAGUCACACGCUUAGAAGUUUAUACAGUGGCGUGGUCGGCUUACAGGGUGUGCAACAUAACCUUCCUCGUAUAUGCACCAACCACCUCGAUCCCACUUCGUGUUUCUUUCCUCAAAAUCUAAUCAGCCACAUCCAAACUCCAAUGUUUAUUCUUAAUGCAGCUUAUGAUUCAUGGCAGAUACAAUCCAGUAUAGCUCCACCAUCGGCAGAUCCGCAUGGUUAUUGGCAUGAUUGCAGACUGAACCAUGCAAAAUGUUCUGCAUCUCAAAUCAGGUUUUUACAAGGCUUCCGAACACAGAUGCUUAAUGCUAUAAAAGGGUUCUCAAUGUCUAGACAGAAUGGAUUAUUUAUAAAUUCAUGUUUUGCUCACUGCCAAACAGAGAGGCAAGACACAUGGUUUGCUGAUGAUUCUCCUGAAAUUAGAAACAAGCCAAUUGCGAUAGCUGUUGGAGAUUGGUAUUUUGACAGAGCAGCCGUGAGGUCCAUUGAUUGUCCGUACCCUUGUGACAAGACUUGCCACAAUCUGGUUUUUAGAUGAGCCAAUGAUAAAUAUUAGUUGGCUCAUAUACAUGGUGAGGUUAGACGUAGCAGGUAUCUUCCUAUCAGCAAUUCAAUGGAAAUUGGAUAGAAGACAAUAAAGAGGAAGGUUGCUGAGAAAUGCAAUGCAAUCAGCAAAUCUUCUGCGAUGUUUUCUAAGCAAAAUUGCAUUGCUCAAAUUUUUUCACCCCUCCGCCCAAGGUUAACCUUUUCCAUCUUAAAAAGAAACCCAAAGCAAAGAUUCGGAAAUUAUUGAAUUUGUUAGAACAACAGAGUUUCAGGAGCCUGAUUGGGAUAGGAAUUUGCAAAAGCGUCGUCUCCUCACCAUCUCGGUGUCUUCAUGCGUUUGAAAUGCAUUACUUUUUUGUGUUCUUCCUGCACUUAUGAUUGUAGGGCCCCA
This is an RNA transcript of Theobroma umbraticum, 2358 nucleotides long. It is a transcript of the gene named Pectinacetylesterase family protein, with no coding region annotated. The record is from RefSeq and is a predicted model, not a curated record. NCBI's taxonomy places the organism in Eukaryota, Viridiplantae, Streptophyta, Magnoliopsida, Malvales, Malvaceae.